Molecule: long non-coding RNA, 443 nt
Filed under: Rhinopithecus bieti (black snub-nosed monkey)
Lineage: Eukaryota; Metazoa; Chordata; Mammalia; Primates; Cercopithecidae
Description: lncRNA (ENSRBIG00000046635.1)
Source: RNAcentral
GAGGAAGGGCUGCAGCACAGAGCAGGCUGCAAUCCCUUUGUGGGGAGUCAGGCAGGCAGGCAUGGGAUGUGGCCAGAAUCAUCGGUUGCUACAGGAUGGGCAAGGCUCAGCCCAAAUCCUCCCUCCUCCAGGAAACCCUCCUGCUGCCUCAGGGAAACGUCUCCCUCUUUCUGUGCCUACGUGCCUUUCUGUGCCUAUGUGCCUCUGUUAGAGCAGGAGUCACUGUGAGGAUGACGAUAACAGCGAUAAUAGCGUUCUGCUCCUGAGGCCGGUGUGUUGGAGUGGGAAGAGGCUGUCACACUGAGAUGAUCUCUGGGCAGAGAAACUGGACGGAGAAGGCCUGAGCUUCAGAAACAGCCCCUUCCCCAGCUUCAAGGUGGCCGUGCUCUGUUCUGAAAGAUGUCUGAUCUUUCCCGCCAAAGAAAUAAAAACAUUGUCGAAAA